Molecule: transfer RNA, 76 nt
Filed under: Pseudomonadota bacterium
Lineage: Bacteria; Pseudomonadati; Pseudomonadota
Also listed under: 2 other names
Description: tRNA-His
Rfam family: tRNA
About the family: Transfer RNA (tRNA) molecules are approximately 80 nucleotides in length. Their secondary structure includes four short double-helical elements and three loops (D, anti-codon, and T loops).
Source: RNAcentral
GCGGCCGUAGCUCAGUUGGUAGAGCCCCGGAUUGUGAUUCCGGUUGUCGUGGGUUCGAGCCCCAUCGGUCGCCCCA